UACGGAGGGGGCUAACGUUGUUCGGAAUUACUGGGCGUAAAGCGCACGUAGGCGGCCUGGAAAGGCAGGGGUGAAAUCCCGGGGCUCAACCCCGGAACUGCCUUUGAAACUCCCAGUCUUGAGGUCGAGAGAGGUGAGUGGAAUUCCGAGUGUAGAGGUGAAAUUCGUAGAGAUUCGGAGGAACACCAGUGGCGAAGGCGGCUCACUGGCUCGAUACUGACGAUGAGGUGCGAAAGCGUGGGGAGCAAACAGG
RNAcentral lists this ribosomal RNA (253 nucleotides) under uncultured bacterium. RNAcentral describes it as "partial 16S ribosomal RNA". It matches the Rfam family "Bacterial small subunit ribosomal RNA", at positions 524 to 776 of the family's 1533-position model. The record is from RNAcentral.